This 638-nucleotide ribosomal RNA is filed under the name uncultured bacterium. RNAcentral describes it as "bacterial SSU rRNA". It matches the Rfam family "Bacterial small subunit ribosomal RNA", at positions 505 to 1143 of the family's 1533-position model. The record is from RNAcentral.
GUGCCAGCAGCCGCGGUAAUACGUAGGGCGCAAGCGUUAUCCGGAAUUAUUGGGCGUAAAGAGCUCGUAGGCGGUUUGUCGCGUCUGCUGUGAAAACCCGAGGCUCAACCUCGGGCCUGCAGUGGGUACGGGCAGACUAGAGUGCGGUAGGGGAGAUUGGAAUUCCUGGUGUAGCGGUGGAAUGCGCAGAUAUCAGGAGGAACACCGAUGGCGAAGGCAGAUCUCUGGGCCGUAACUGACGCUGAGGAGCGAAAGGGUGGGGAGCAAACAGGCUUAGAUACCCUGGUAGUCCACCCCGUAAACGUUGGGAACUAGUUGUGGGGGCCUUUCCACGGUCUCCGUGACGCAGCUAACGCAUUAAGUUCCCCGCCUGGGGAGUACGGCCGCAAGGCUAAAACUCAAAGGAAUUGACGGGGACCCGCACAAGCGGCGGAGCAUGCGGAUUAAUUCGAUGCAACGCGAAGAACCUUACCAAGGCUUGACAUAUAGAGGAAAGUUCUGGAAACAGUUCCCCCGCAAGGUCUCUAUACAGGUGGUGCAUGGUUGUCGUCAGCUCGUGUCGUGAGAUGUUGGGUUAAGUCCCGCAACGAGCGCAACCCUCGUUCUAUGUUGCCAGCACGUAAUGGUGGGAACUCAUG